CCUAAAACCAUUACCCCUAAAACGGCGCUGCUCUUCUUCUCGAAUGGAGACCUUAUCAGAAAAAUCAAAAAAAAUAGACCCCCCCCUUCGUUCUUCAUCAUCACCAAAUAGACCUUUCAUUUCCAAACCAAAAAAUGGAACCUUACCUCCACACUCUCGUCGCUCAAAUACACACACAUAAAUGACUGAAGCAAAGCUAAAAAAGAAAAUUCAAAGAAAGAUCUGAAAAUCACAAAGCUUGAAAACAAAGAAGAACUGAGAUUUCUAAAAGAAGUUUGAAGAAAAAUUAAUUUCGAAAUUCAAUUCCUCUUUUUAUGGUUUGUACGAGAUGUGGAAGUCGAUUUCAUGGGUCUGAAAUUCUGCUGCUCUACUAUUGAUUCACUGUAUUGCUGAGCUCCAUCUUCGGAGUAUUUUGGUUGUUAUUCGAUUUUUGAAGUUGUUUCACUUGCCGCUAGGUACAAUUGAGUUUCACUCUUUCUCUAAACUGCCAAGUGCAGGAAGUAGACUACUUAACAUUGACAAGGCUCACUUACCUAACCUUAGGGUUAGGAUAGCAAAAAGAAAAGAAACGGGUUGAUGCUAGUUGAUACUUUAACAUUGCCUGCCUUGGCUAUCUUAACUAGACUUUGUAUGUUGUGGAGUUGCUUGCUAGUGGUAUUAGCAUGGUUACAUGCUUAAUCUGAUGGUGGCUCUUCAAUGUACGAAGCAAUUACAGCAGGUAGGAGACCUUCUUCUAUUGCAUAUGUGAGUACACAAAGUCACAUACUGGUACGUGUACGUCUUCACACAUGCAGUCAUGCAAGUGGCAUUCAAGAUAACUGGAUUACUACGUAUUGGUACAAGUAUUGGAAAAUUUAUAACAUGCUGGAGGUGAGGUUCGUGACUGCACAUUGUCAAAUUGAAGUGAGGUUAGUUCGAGAUCACGUGAUCUCAUUAGCAAAGGCUACAUACUACACAUAUAUGGGCAGAGUCUUUUAGACGGCUUCUAAGGAGUGGUGUAGACGUUGGAGUUUCACAUUUUUCUUGUCCUUUGGAAUGCAAAACUUGGAGCCUGGUGAGAGAUUUAUAGGUGCUACUGUGGGGUGUUUGCACUUGUCUUGUGAAGUUACAUACACCAUAUUCCUAUUGAAGCAUUCGUCUAAUGCUCAUGUAAUAGCUAGUUUAAUCCGCAUAUUUUUUCCUUAUUGGAGGUUAGAUCUAUUGGUAGUAGUUGAAAA
Nicotiana tabacum (common tobacco) is the source of this 1217-nucleotide long non-coding RNA. RefSeq lists it as uncharacterized. The record is from RefSeq and is a predicted model, not a curated record. Lineage: Eukaryota; Viridiplantae; Streptophyta; Magnoliopsida; Solanales; Solanaceae.